CGUUCUCUUCUUUGCUCCUCUCUCCUUCCUCUGCUCCAGCAGCGUAAAGGGCGCGCGCUGCACCGAGCGGCCGCGUUGAGAGUCGGCGACGUCGGCGCCAACGUAGUGCGUACAGCCUGGCCAGCCGUGCUCGCCGGCCAAACAUGGUCGACCGGUCGCGUCGAACCACCUGACUUGGGCUGCUCGGGAGCAGGCUCGGGAAGCAGCUGAUCGUCACCGUGCUCCGGGCCGGCUUCAGCUUUCGGACCCCGGUUCUCUUCUCGGCGUUCUCUGCGCGCCGAAGAAGCUCAUCUCGUUCGGCAGGCAAGCAAGGACCGUUUUGGGGCAGAAAAAGAGAAGUCGCGGUGUGUGCUCGCCGACUCUCUCUCUCUCUCGAAGGAGCGAGUCGCGUUCUUCGGCCACCCAAGCAAGCGUGCUCGUGUUUUUAUGUGUGUGUGAGUGUGUGUGGGCGCCCUGUCUUUCCGCCAAAAACAAACACGAUGACCCCCGCGACGUCGGUUCAGCGCGGAGAUCCGCUGUCGUGCUCGCGGCUAAGAAAGCUCGUCGUAUCGCUGUGAUGCCACGCUGAACCACCACCAACGUUGCAUGUGUUAGUCGUUUCCCUCUGGCGGUUCGCCAAGUGUCGAUUGUGCGCUAUCCAGACGUGUGCGUGUGUGCCUUCUGUUUCUCCGCGACUGUCCCAGGGGCCAACGCCUGUGUGUCGUCUGCACGACUUUCGCUUCCUAAACCUUUGACACGUGAUGACACGACUUCAAGAAGUUUGAAGACAGUUACGCCCGGCUUUGAGGGAUCGCCCGAGCGGGCAGCUGCACGACUUCUGCGUGCAACAGAUACUGCAGCUGGCUCCAUUCAGUGGUCGUCCAAGCAGGAGGGGCCAAAGAGGUACACAUUAACAAGUCGUUGCAGAAUUCGUAAAGAGGCCUGCUUUCACCUUGCGGUCGUCUAUACAGGGAAACUGCACGAAGGUACGUAUUACAUUUAGUACACAUACACGUCCUCGAACUUUCAAUUUUCGGGAAAAAAAGUUUGCGUGAAAAAGAAACGCGCCACUGUUCGUAUAGCGUUCCCUAUAUUUUAGUACUACUCGUGCUGCUCGCGCUAUGAGAACCAUUCGCAAUAUGAAUACGCGUUUUUUUUUUUUGUAAGCUCGGCCGGAAAAAAAUUGCGUUCAUCAGAACCGCCGUAUUCCGCGCAAGCCUGCCUUUCUCUAGUUUUCUUCUUCUUGUUUUUUUUUUUUUAAUGGUUUCGUCCAACUAACUUUGGGAGCCGCUCGAAAAAGAUAUUACCGAGCCUUGUGAUAAAGAAAUACGAGGCAGGCCGGUUUAGGUCGUCUUAGUCUAGCUUUCUUCCCGUUGACCAGCAAUGCGAUUUUAACAAUUUAGUUAUUCUUUGGGGUUAAGUCGCUGUGAGGCGCGGAUUUAACACAAAAUGGGCAAAUUUUUUUUUUAGUUUUCUUUGGGAGUGCUGGUGCCCCAGUUUUUUACUCCAGCGUGAGAGGAUAGCUAGGUGGGAUGGGAAACUGCACUACUGACAGUUAAUACCGAUGCAUUUGCUUCGAGAAGCGGCGAAGAAGAAAAAAAGACUGAAUGAAUCGCGAAUAAAUUAAUGAAUCAGCGCAUGACUUGCUUCGUGUAUCACCGAACGAAAUGCUGAAGUGAGUGACUGAACGAAUUAAGUAAUGCAGGGAAUAACGAACGAGUGCAGGGUCGAAUCAACGGAUAAAUUCCUGCAUGCACUAUUGAGGGAAAUAAUGAAUGCACGGAUGAACGAAUUCCAGUGCAUAGUAGAACGAUGAAUGAAUACAGUAUUGAAUAAGUUAAGUAAAUCGCUUGCUUGCAUGCAUGAUUGAAUUCAGUAGUGAAUGACUGAAUGUGCAAAUCGUUUGAUCAGGGGAACGACGAGUGAACGCAUGACUGGACGAAUCGACGUAUUAAAUUUCUCCAUAUAUGAAUUAAUGAAUGAACGAGUGAAGGCAGUAACGAAGGAACGCGUGCUUGAAGGAGUCAUUAUUGAUUACGUCGUUGAAUGAACUGACGAAUAAAUUGCUGCAUGCGUAAAGUAAGGUUUUGAAUGAAGUAAAUAAUGCAUAAAUGAAUGAACAAGUGAAUGGUGGAUAGCAAUAAAGGCAAGAAGAAGGAGAGCAAGCGGGAAAAUGUCAAAUAAAUAACUGAAGCGAAUACUUCAGUUUGAAUGUUGAGCACGCAAUAUCACUUACAGCUCAAUAUUAAUUAUUUGCAACUGUCCCCGCUUUAGGUUGCGGUACAAAAUUGGUGUGCGCUACGUAAAUGGAGAUAGCAAUAUCCUCAAAUCCACGGCUUUAACCUCAAACCCGGCUUUUCUUAUGCCAGCUUCUUUAUUUAUUUGACCUUAUAUUCGUAUAAAUUUUUUUUUCAUUCUUCUACGUCAUCCACGUUUUCUUUUUUUUUUUUCAGCAGAGCAUGAAGUUGACUCUAUGGCGCUUAACUUUGAAAGCUCGUCGGCUUGUUUGACGUACUGGGAUCUAUCAACUUUGCAAUCGCGAUAAAUUCAUCGUGCAAUAAGAAAGAAUAUAUGUAACUCUUCUUUCUUUUUCAUCUUGAAAGAUUGCUUGAGAUGUUGUACUGUCUUCGGCAGUUUAGCUUUUACGCGUGUCUUCGGGUUGAGAAAGCCUAUAGCGCGUGUAUGGGGUUUUUGCAUAAUCGCAAUAUUUGCCGUCAUAGAAGAGAGAGGAUGUUUCUUAUUUUGAUGUCUUUACCAGCAGUGACUGCUUGGCUGAAAGUAGUCAGACAUGAUGGAUUGGUUGCUCGUUCGGCGAGAGAGUUAAUUGAAUUCGCUUCCUGUCAAAAAAAGGAAAUAGAAAUGAAAAUACAAAAAGAUGCCUCGUAGGGUCCUGUUCUUCGUAGGAAUCUUUUUCUGGUGUGUACGUUUUGACGUGUUUUGCCAUGGUAGCCGCCUUCUAGGCAGUGCUUUCCUUUGGAACAGAAACCAUACGUUGACUAGCACAAUAUGUCGCGUACACUCGGACGGAGUUACUGGGAUGAUUGAUCGAUGCGGUUAGCGACCCAACGAACUAACUGCACCGUGACGGCGCUAUACUUAACUUUGUACACACUUGAUUGAGUAGACGACGGAGCAGAUGGAGCAGUCCAUGUGGAGAAAAGGUCGCGACAGCAGGGCCUUUCUUCACCUGGACGUCGUAAGCUUUGUUUCUUCAUUCUUUAUUAAUUAUUUAGUGCGUUGGCAUUAUGAGUCUCAAACACGCACACACACACCUGUGUGUGUGUUAGACACUCAUAAUGCUAAUGCACUAAAAAAAGAAUAUAUAUAUUUCUAGCGUAAGGAGUCAACAAACAAUGACGCCAAGGACAACAUAGGGCAUAUUAUGCGUACUUACUAAGUGAAUUAAAGAAAUUAUAAAUUAAUGGAAAUGAAAGUGGAUGAAAAGAAAACUUGCCCUAGAACUAACCCUGGGAGUGUUUUAGCCAGCGCCUGCACUCGCAAACCUUGGCGGCGGUUGUGGAACAUCCUUUCUGCCGCAGGCGUCACGAGUUCGUGGCCUUUUUGGGUCAAGGCAACUGUUCAAUAAGCCCACACGUGCUACCCGAAGGCAUCAGGGUUGCCGGAUUCGAGACCCUCGCUGCGUAACGAACGAGAAGAAACCGAGGGGCCCGGUAUCUAUGAAUCAUAGCA
Dermacentor andersoni is the source of this 3669-nucleotide long non-coding RNA. RefSeq lists it as uncharacterized. Lineage: Eukaryota; Metazoa; Arthropoda; Arachnida; Ixodida; Ixodidae. The record is from RefSeq and is a predicted model, not a curated record.